This 77-nucleotide transfer RNA is filed under the name Marmota monax (woodchuck). RNAcentral describes it as "tRNA.Ala". Lineage: Eukaryota; Metazoa; Chordata; Mammalia; Rodentia; Sciuridae. The record is from RNAcentral.
UUUUAUGUGGCUCAGUGGCAAAGCACUUGCCUAGCAUGCAUGAGGCACUGGGUUCGAUCCUCAGUACCACAUAAAAA